Molecule: ribosomal RNA, 1701 nt
Filed under: human gut metagenome
Description: bacterial LSU rRNA
Rfam family: Bacterial large subunit ribosomal RNA
Source: RNAcentral
AGUGGGAAGAGCCCAAACCGGAUUUAUCCGGGGUUGUAGGACCUUCAUAAUUGACAAAUCAUGAUAGCCGAAUGGUCUGGGAAGGCCAACCGUAGGGGGUGAGAGUCCCGUAGGUGAAAUUGUGAGAUGCAUGGAAGGAAUCCUGAGUACGGCGGGACACGUGGAAUCCCGUCGGAAUCAACGAGGACCAUCUCGUAAGGCUAAAUACUACCUAGUGACCGAUAGUGAACCAGUACCGUGAGGGAAAGGUGAAAAGCACCCCGGGAGGGGAGUGAAAUAGAACCUGAAACCGUGUGCCUACAACAAGUUCGAGCCCGUUAAUGGGUGAGAGCGUGCCUUUUGUAGAAUGAACCGGCGAGUUACGAUAUGAUGCGAGGUUAAGUUGAAGAGACGGAGCCGUAGGGAAACCGAGUCUUAAUAGUGCGUAUUAGUAUCAUGUCGUAGACCCGAAACCAUGUGACCUACCCAUGAGCAGGUUGAAGGUGAGGUAAAACUCACUGGAGGACCGAACCAGGGCACGUUGAAAAGUGCUUGGAUGACUUGUGGGUAGCGGAGAAAUUCCAAACGAACUUGGAGAUAGCUGGUUCUCUCCGAAAUAGCUUUAGGGCUAGCGUCGAUGUUAAGUCUCUUGGAGGUAGAGCACUGUUUGGGUGAGGGGUCCAUCCCGGAUUACCAAUCUCAGAUAAACUCCGAAUGCCAACGAGAUAUAAUCGGCAGUCAGACUGCGAGUGCUAAGAUCCGUAGUCGAAAGGGAAACAGCCCAGACCACCAGCUAAGGUCCCAAAAUAUAUGUUAAGUGGAAAAGGAUGUGGGGUUGCACAGACAACUAGGAUGUUAGCUUGGAAGCAGCUAUUCAUUCAAAGAGUGCGUAAUAGCUCACUAGUCGAGUGACCCUGCGCCGAAAAUGUACCGGGGCUAAAACAUAUUACCGAAGCUGUGGAUACCUUUAUAGGUAUGGUAGGAGAGCGUUCUAUGUGCGAAGAAGGUGUACCGUGAGGAGUGCUGGAGCGCAUAGAAGUGAGAAUGCCGGUAUGAGUAGCGAAAGACAGGUGAGAAUCCUGUCCACCGUAAGACUAAGGUUUCCAGGGGAAGGCUCGUCCGCCCUGGGUUAGUCGGGACCUAAGGAGAGACCGAAAGGUGUAUCCGAUGGACAACAGGUUGAUAUUCCUGUACUAGAGUAUAUAGUGAUGGAGGGACGCAGUAGGCUAACUAAACCAGACGAUUGGAAGUGUCUGGCCAAGCAGUGAGGUGUGAUAUGAGUCAAAUGCUUAUAUCUAUAACAUUGAGCUGUGAUGGGGAGCGAAGUUUAGUAGCGAAGUUAGUGAUGUCACACUGCCGAGAAAAGCUUCUAGCGUUAAUUAUACUCUACCCGUACCGCAAACCGACACAGGUAGUCGAGGCGAGUAGCCUCAGGUGAGCGAGAGAACUCUCGUUAAGGAACUCGGCAAAAUGGCCCCGUAACUUCGGGAGAAGGGGCGCUGACUUAUGGUCAGCCGCAGUGAAUAGGCCCAAGCAACUGUUUAUCAAAAACACAGCUCUCUGCUAAAUCGUAAGAUGAUGUAUAGGGGGUGACGCCUGCCCGGUGCUGGAAGGUUAAGAGGAGUGCUUAGCAAUAGCGAAGGUAUGAAUUGAAGCCCCAGUAAACGGCGGCCGUAACUAUAACGGUCCUAAGGUAGCGAAAUUCCUUGUCGGGUAAGUUCC